RNAcentral lists this ribosomal RNA (503 nucleotides) under uncultured bacterium. Its description in RNAcentral is "partial 16S ribosomal RNA". It matches the Rfam family "Bacterial small subunit ribosomal RNA", at positions 30 to 523 of the family's 1533-position model. The record is from RNAcentral.
AUUGAACGCUGGCGGCAGGCUUAACACAUGCAAGUCGAGCGGGGUGAUGGUGCUUGCACUAUCACUUAGCGGCGGACGGGUGAGUAAUGCUUAGGAAUCUGCCUAUUAGUGGGGGACAGCAUCUCGAAAGGGAUGCUAAUACCGCAUACGUCCCACGGGAGAAAGCAGGGGAUCACUUGUGACCUUGCGCUAAUAGAUGAGCCUAAGUCGGAUUAGCUAGUUGGUGGGGUAAAGGCCUACCAAGGCGACGAUCUGUAGCGGGUCUGAGAGGAUGGUCCGCCACACUGGGACUGAGACACGGCCCAGAGCCCUACGGGAGGCAGCAGUGGGGAAUAUUGGACCAUGGGGGGAACCCUGAUCCAGCCAUGCCGCGUGUGUGAAGAAGGCCUUAUGGUUGUAAAGCACUUUAAGCGAGGAGGAGGCUCUUUUGGUUAAUACCCAAGAUGAGUGGACGUUACUCGCAGAAUAAGCACCGGCUAACUCUGUGCCAGCAGCCGCCGUAA